RNAcentral lists this ribosomal RNA (465 nucleotides) under uncultured Klebsiella sp. RNAcentral's name for it is "bacterial SSU rRNA". It matches the Rfam family "Bacterial small subunit ribosomal RNA", at positions 338 to 795 of the family's 1533-position model. Lineage: Bacteria; Pseudomonadati; Pseudomonadota; Gammaproteobacteria; Enterobacterales; Enterobacteriaceae. The record is from RNAcentral.
CCUACGGGAGGCAGCAGUGGGGAAUAUUGCACAAUGGGCGCAAGCCUGAUGCAGCCAUGCCGCGUGUGUGAAGAAGGCCUUCGGGUUGUAAAGCACUUUCAGCGGGGAGGAAGGCGGUGAGGUUAAUAACCUCAUCGAUUGACGUUACCCGCAGAAGAAGCACCGGCUAACUCCGUGCCAGCAGCCGCGGUAAUACGGAGGGUGCAAGCGUUAAUCGGAAUUACUGGGCGUAAAGCGCACGCAGGCGGUCUGUCAAGUCGGAUGUGAAAUCCCCGGGCUCAACCUGGGAACUGCAUUCGAAACUGGCAGGCUAGAGUCUUGGAGAGGGGGGUAGAAUUCCAGGUGUAGCGGUGAAAUGCGUAGAGAUCUGGAGGAAUACCGGUGGCGAAGGCGGCCCCCUGGACAAAGACUGACGCUCAGGUGCGAAAGCGUGGGGAGCAAACAGGAUUAGAUACCCUAGUAGUC